This 497-nucleotide ribosomal RNA is filed under the name uncultured bacterium. RNAcentral describes it as "partial 16S ribosomal RNA". It matches the Rfam family "Bacterial small subunit ribosomal RNA", at positions 28 to 507 of the family's 1533-position model. The record is from RNAcentral.
GAUGAACGCUGGCGGCGUGCCUAAUACAUGCAAGUCGAGCGAACAGACGAGGAGCUUGCUCCUCUGACGUUAGCGGCGGACGGGUGAGUAACACGUGGAUAACCUACCUAUAAGACUGGGAUAACUUCGGGAAACCGGAGCUAAUACCGGAUAAUAUAUUGAAUCGCAUGGUUCAAUAGUGAAAGACGGUUUUGCUGUCACUUAUAGAUGGAUCCGCGCCGCAUUAGCUAGUUGGUAAGGUAACGGCUUACCAAGGCAACGAUGCGUAGCCGACCUGAGAGGGUGAUCGGCCACACUGGAACUGAGACACGGUCCAGACUCCUACGGGAGGCAGCAGUAGGGAAUCUUCCGCAAUGGGCGAAAGCCUGACGGAGCAACGCCGCGUGAGUGAUGAAGGUCUUCGGAUCGUAAAACUCUGUUAUUAGGGAAGAACAAAUGUGUAAGUAACUAUGCACGUCUUGACGGCACCUAAUCAGAAAGCCACGGCUAACUACGUG